UACGUAGGGUGCGAGCGUUGUCCGGAUUUAUUGGGCGUAAAGAGCGUGUAGGCGGCCAGACAAGUCUGCUGUGAAAACUCGAGGCUCAACCUCGAGCUGUCGGUGGAAACUGUCUGGCUAGAGUCCGGAAGAGGAGAGUGGAAUUCCUGGUGUAGCGGUGAAAUGCGCAGAUAUCAGGAAGAACACCUAUGGCGAAGGCAGCUCUCUGGGACGGUACUGACGCUGAGACGCGAAAGCGUGGGGAGCGAACAGG
This 253-nucleotide ribosomal RNA is filed under the name uncultured bacterium. RNAcentral's name for it is "partial 16S ribosomal RNA". It matches the Rfam family "Bacterial small subunit ribosomal RNA", at positions 524 to 776 of the family's 1533-position model. The record is from RNAcentral.